ACACCCUUACAAAAAAAAAAAAAGUGUAGUAUUUUUUUUAUCAGUUUAAUAUCUGAUAUGUGGGUCAUCGACCCUACUUGAUAUUAAUUCUAUUGUUUUAUGGAGGAAUAUCUAUUAAUCUUAGUUUGAUGAUGUGGUUCUUCAUGCAUUGUCUUGAGCUUCAACUACUAUUGCUACAGCUUAUGCACCGCUC
Small nuclear RNA from Cynara cardunculus var. scolymus (artichoke), 193 nucleotides. RefSeq annotates it as U2 spliceosomal RNA. NCBI's taxonomy places the organism in Eukaryota, Viridiplantae, Streptophyta, Magnoliopsida, Asterales, Asteraceae. The record is from RefSeq and is a predicted model, not a curated record. The transcript has a single exon.